This is a long non-coding RNA of Trachemys scripta elegans, 1256 nucleotides long. RefSeq lists it as uncharacterized. The transcript has 5 exons. The record is from RefSeq and is a predicted model, not a curated record. Lineage: Eukaryota; Metazoa; Chordata; Testudines; Emydidae.
CCUGGCAUUGGCCCCUCUUGGAAGCCAGGAUACUGGGCUAGAUGGACCUUUGGUCUGACCCAGUAUGGCCAUUCAUAUGUAUGUAAGGGACUGCGUGGGCAAGGGCUGUUCUAUGUGAUAUCCUAGACUUUUUUUCAGCUCUGGACAUGUUCAUUGGGAGGUAAAAACAAGAGCUCCUUAGCAUUUAGAUUUAUGCCACUUCAAUCACCAGGGACCUUACUAAAUGGGCUAUCUAUCCGUAAUUCAUACAGUGGGUAUGCAGAGGCCUCUUAAAAUCUUAUUUUUGACUUCAGCUGUCUUAGGUUGCUGAUCUAACCGUUAACUACAGUCUCUUUAGGGGUGGGGUUUUGUUCUCCCCAGCAGUCUAUCCCAGCUCAACACUGCUUUGCUUUCUUCAUCCACUUUGCCGGAGAAGACUAGUGUUCUAGUUGACAUGACUCAGGUUCUUUCUACAGUGGAAGCUGUACUGUGCAAGAUACAGGUGAGUUAAAAGCAUAGGUGUGACUUGGAAGGUUCUAGCGCUUUGAAAACCACUUUGGACCUGCUGAUAAACCCCUGGUAUUGUAGACUAACGUUUGUUAUAGGGGUUGGUCCAUAGCAUCUUUUGUUCACAACUUAUGGGGUUUUGCUUUUUUCUUACCCAGGAGAAAAAUCCACAUCUCAGCAAAAUAGACCUUCUGGCAAAGGUUUCUUCCAUGUUUUGUUUCACAUUAGAAACUGCAUUUGUCUUUAGUGGUUGUAUGCUUGCUUGGCAGAAGAAUGUUUUGACCAUUAAGUUUAAAGAAUCUAAUGACCACUUUGGAUAAAGGACUCAUUCAGUAUCCCAGCACCUUCAAUUAAAGUGAGAUCUCACAAUACACCAAAACUGACCUGCAGCAAAGUCUGGAAAGACGAGACUUGAUAUGUCCAAGAACUCCCUGAAGUUCCCACGAGACUUCCAGUGCGCUGCAGAAGACUGCCCCAGAAUCCAGGGACUUAGAUCCAGCUUGCUGCAGAGUACACCACGGCUGCUGUUGUUUACUUACAUGCAAAAUUCAGGUUUCUGAAGUUUCUCCUCUACACUUUGAGGACUAGUUGCUUUCUUUUCACACUGUUUGGGAAGAGAGAGUUCCAAACUUCUCCUAAGUUGUCAGGACAAGCUCUGCAGCUUCCCUGGUGCUUCAGCAGUCGGCAAUGAAGAAUGGAAGAUAAACAACUUUCCAGCACAUUCUGCUGCCUGUCACAAAGAGACCGUAACAACCUUUUAUUCUGCUGCU